AUUCCUGUCUGUCAGCCCACUAAAAGGGUGCAUUCUCAUCCCCUUUCUGCCAUGAAGCAAGUUGCUGCUCUGGGCAAUGUCUGUGGACAGCGAGUGAUGCCAGUGAUUAGGGGGUAAGGCUGUAUGAUGGGGUGGCACAUAAGGAAGCUACUGAGGCUGCAACGUGGAGAUACACCCUUCAGUUUCGCUUCGAUCAACAAUACGUGUGUUAUGAUCUUCACUGGGCUCGGAUUCAGUGUAUCAUCUUUCUUGCUGCCCUUGAAGAGUGGUGUCCAGUGAAUCUUUCAAAGAAUGAUACUGAGCUUCAUUGUUGAUGAACAAAAAUGCAAAUCUCACCCAGAGCAUGCAGGAACAUGCUAUAAUCACUACACUCCUAGAAUGUGAUCUCUUUCAAUAUUGACUGCAUCCAUGCCUUCCACACACUUGCACCAGUUGGGAGGAUGGAGAUGUCAUCUGGGCAGAGGGAGAAGAGCAGUACCAUUCAGAGGUCUGUCCCUCUUAAGAUAUAUUCUCUCUGUCAACCUAGGUGAGUAUUUUAAGUCUCCAACAUGAUAUCACUAAAUGCAGAGUUAGGAAGAAAUACAUGCAAUCUUGCAAGUUAGUAUAAGCAGAUUCAGUACACCACUGACUAUUUGUGUUACCUAAAAAUUACCUGAAAAAUGCCGUGGCCUGCCCAAGUUUUUAUCCAGGGGACAGAGGAAGGACAAUCCCCCAAAUAUUGAAUAAAUAUAAAGACAGCAGAACAAAACAGAACGGCUUUCUAAUUUCUUACAGACCAUAGUUGUUCAACAUAAUACUUACACAUUUGAAAAAAGAAGAUUGUUUUAUUGGAGUGCCUUAAGAUGUUUUCAACAUAUGGAUUUUACAGCAGGGCAGUUCAAGAGGCAUGAGGAAUGUUUCUUUUCUCUAUUUGUUGGAGCACUGGAGUGUGAGCUGAAGCAGCCUAAUCCUGACUUGCAGAAAUGGAGAGGACAUGACUUACCGGAAUUGUUCAUGGAAUUGGUUUGGCUAAUUCUCAUUGAUUCUGCCAUUUCUCCAGAAGCCAUUACUACAGCUGUUGAAACAGGGGUAGAGAAAAAUGACAGGUGCUAAGUGGUAUCUAGGAGGUUAAUAAUGAGCAUAUUUAAAAUAAUCUCUAGGACUUCUGGAAUUUUCUAGGAGGAAUCUUAAGAAAUGCUCUAGAUUUUGUAACAGCUAAUAAAGGAGAUAUUAUAAUGCUGAUGGUGACAGUGGUGACCCUGAUCUACCCUGGAAAACUUGGCUUUUAUUGUUUAUUCUGUCGUAUCUCAUCGUUAAUUCCUAUUUUUUAUUCUUUACUUUAAAAAUUGUUUUUAUUUUAGCUACACAAUUAGUUACACUUUUUUUAUUCUUGGGACCUAUAACAUUCAAUGAACGUCUUAGAAAGGUGAUGGUAAUGUCUAGACCAAACAAAAGAAGAAUAGGAAACUGUUCAGGUAAGUAAAAAAGAUAGUCUGUCCUCUUUUAGAGUUUUUGUGCUCAGAGGUGAAGUUUUCCCCUCACAUACCUAAUAAAAACUAUAAUUUGCAUUAUAAACUCCCUGCUACUUAGGUUCCUAAGGGGUGGACCAUCUUGACCUUUUAAUUAUUAAUGCUUUUCCUCAAAUUACAAUUAUUUGAGGAAUAAUUACAAUCCCUGUCCUGCUAACUGGCAAUUUUCUAAUAGAGUUUUCAUUUCUCCAUAUUUCAUUAAUUGCAACUUGUGUAUCAUAUAAUGAUAGAAUCUUCAGAACAGCACCUUGUUAACUGGAAAGGUUAUGAAAUGCUAAUGAGCUCUUUUAAAUGGCUAACUCCCUGUAAGACUCUCCAGAUUCUUUCUUUUCUUUAAUGUUUCUUAUAUUUUUAGACAUUCUUCCUUGUAAAGUAUUCUUCAAGAUUAUUUUAAAUAUUCUUGAAAAGAAAUUAACAUAUUUGAUGGCCUUCUGUAUGUUGAACCUGCUCACAUAAUUACUGUGUUUAUUUCUUUCAACAAGCCCUGUGAGUAAGGCAUUCCUGCUCCUCUGCAGUAAAGGGAAACAAGGAUAAAAAAACAAUGUUAUUGGCUCAAGGUCAAUGGUGGAGCAACGAUUUAAGUUCAAAUUUUCCAUCUUCAAAUCUUGUGUUCUUUCUUUUGUAGAACUCAAAGGGCUGUGUGAAAAGUUUACUGUGGAAAAAGAAAUUGAAAAAACUGCCACUAAGUAGCAAUGGAAGGACUUUUCCCGCUAAGAUGAGGAACUGCUCAGAUCACCAGCUGCUUCAGGUUACCAGCCCACACCUGUCUGUCUCACCUCUGACAACCUUGGAUGAAGAUAGCCCGAAAACUUGCCUGGAAGUUUAACAACAACAGAGGAGAGCUCCUUUAUCAUCAAAAGCCAAGAAAGCAAUGCAGUCUUGCUUAUAAAAGUUACACCUGCAAAAAUGGGACUGAAUCCAGUGAGGAAGGACAUAACAUUUUGCCUGAAUGUGCAAAAUAUGAGUGGGGUGUUGUCUGUAUCCCUGCAGGCUCCGAGCAGCCUAGUGGGUAAAGAAACCAAGGCUUAGAGACCUGCUCACAGUCGUUUCGUGAGGGAAUGCAACAUCUGGGUCUAGGGUCCAAAUCUAUCUCUGCUGUGAAGAGGAACUCAUACAGGAGAUCUACAUGAUUACCAAUUCUUGGCCUUGCAGUGGAGGGAUUUGUCCUUACAGUGCUGUGGAAACUGGUGAAGAGGUCUGAGUUUGGAUAUAAAGCUGUAGUUUCUGGCCUGGUGCUGGCACCUGAAGUCCACAGACAGCUGGGCAAAGAAGAUGGAUGGGAAGCAGAGGAAGAAAAGGCAAGCUGAAUGAAGGAGAAACUGGUGCCUUCCAUCAUGGAGCUAAAUAUGCAUCUGGUCCAGGAUUCAGGGAAAUUGAUGCAGCAGGAGGAUCUGGCAGGAGCCCAGCUGCUGCCCCUCACCAACAAGGUGAGCUUGUGGAUAAGUGACAACAUGCAUGAGUUCCAACAGUGCUUGGAGCCCUGCAUCCAUCUUCCAAGCAUAAAAAAACAAGAUGGCUACUGCUUCACUUCCACUUUCUACAUCUUAUGCAAAAUGUCUCUUGAGGUCCACACUGUCCAAGAAAUCUGCAGAAAAGACAUAUGGAAGACUUAGUUCUAAGCCAAGUUGAUACAAUAGACAUCUAUCACACACUAUUUAUCAUAAGAUUUGGUGAGGGACGGGGGGUUCACAGAUGCCCUAAACCCCACUGAUAGAUAGCCUAGGGGUUUAUGAGCCUUGGAUUAUUAAAAAUCUCUCUUCUAGUGUUCAUGAUAAUAGGAAUGGCAUCAGUGACUUAAUUAAGAAAACAUCACCUUCUGAAUUUAGGCUGAUCCGUGUCAAUGAGUUUUAAUAGCUGGAAAAAUUUGUAUUUUAGUUACCUUUCUAAUUUUCUCUUCACUUGAGAGCCUGUCAAUCUUCUCAGUACUCAGGAGUCAGUCUGUCAGUACUAAGGAGUCACAUUCUUUACAAUGCCUUUUUAAAAUGUUAAGUUUUAUUUCCUAAUUUUUCAAGCAAAUGCACAUAUUAUUAAAAAUGUAUAUGCCACUGACUUUAGUCAUAAUUAAAUAAAAUAAAUGAGUGGUUUUUCUUUGAAAUCAAAUGUAUCAGGUAAUUUUAAGCCAUGGAAUUGUGUUUAAGUUAUUGCCAUUUAUUUUGAAUUUUUAAACUUAUUGAGCACUGGGUCCUCCUUUAUUCUUACUCUAGUUUUUCACUUUUGCCCUUAUGAAUCUUUUGAGUUAAUAGAAAACCUUUCAGUUAGAUUGUCUCUUGAUCUUUUGACCAAUCUUCAACUUCAUAGAAAGUAGGUAGCCCCUGCCCAUCUGCUUACUGACACAAGGAAAAGCCUUUCUAUUGCUAGGUGCUAUCUAGUGCUGGAUAAUAACAGCUGAGAUAUUGGGAGUUUUAUGCAGUGCUACUUUAUUGCUAUGGGAACUUAGACAACUCUCUUUUCUGAAAACUGUUUUCACAAAAAAAUUGCUUCAUAGGAUUUCACUAAACAUCUUCCCAUUGUCAGGUGGUUCUCAAAGUCUUACAUCUUGUAAUGAAUGUGAUUAUCAAGUUUACAUAAACAUCGAUAAAAAGAAAAGUCUUUUUCUUUUUACCCAUUGUCCAAUAUGUACCUGAGAUACUUUCUGGUAUUAUAUCAUGGAGGCGAAAAAUAGCAGUUGAUGGAAAUAUGGUAUUAGUACAAAAAGUGAUUUUGGAUUUUUAAAACUGUAUUCAUUCAAAAAUUAUGUCCAUUAAAAAAUAAUUCCUAUAGAUAUUUAGUUAGAAAGUAAACAAGACUUCUUAGGUUCUGGCCUUAUGAUCUAAACAGAAAGUUUCAUUCAUGUAUCUUAUCUGUAAAAUUACAUUUGUAAUUUCUUAAUUUUCAUAGAAAAUGACCUCGUUUUAAUUAUUGGUCUUCUGGACUUAGGCAUAGCAUAGUGCUCUAAAAUAGACAAUACUCAAACACUUGCUUCAUGAGAAAGGAUGGAACAAAUGAAUAAAUAAAUUUAUGAUGCUCUCUAAUUUCUAACAUCAAUUAAUGUAUUUAUUCCUAAAGCACCUCCUCCAAACUGAAGCAUAACCUCAUUUCUACCCCAAUGUGGCACACACUGUUGAUACUGAGAGAUGCAAUGCAACUAGCUCCGUGUGGCAAGUCUGUAGGAUCCCACAAAUUACCGGGAGUACAGAAGUUCUGGUCCAUUCUCAGAAGAAUUCUCUAACCAAGGAAAACCAAAAUCAUGUUAUUGCCAUCACUGACAGUUCCAACUGCACCUGAGCACUGCUCUUCACUGUCUUACCCUGAAGUUUAAACCCUAGAUUGAGCACCAACCUGUGCCCCCAUCUUAAAAUCUCAUUAAAUAUCUAAUUCAUUCUUCGGCUUUCCCAUAUUAAAAUAACUUAUUACACA
This is a long non-coding RNA of Homo sapiens (human), 4904 nucleotides long. RefSeq lists it as uncharacterized. The transcript is spliced from 8 exons. The record is from RefSeq and is a predicted model, not a curated record. Lineage: Eukaryota; Metazoa; Chordata; Mammalia; Primates; Hominidae.